AAACCAACAGGGAUUGCCUUAGUAACGGCGAGUGAAGCGGCAAAAGCUCAAAUUUGAAAUCGGCCACCAGGUCGAGUUGUAAUUUGUAGAUUGUAUCUUGAGAGCGGAUUAAAGUCUGUUGGAACACAGCGCCUUAGAGGGUGACAGCCCCGUAAAAUCUAUUCUCAUUGUAAGAUACUUUCGAA
RNAcentral lists this ribosomal RNA (185 nucleotides) under uncultured Ascomycota. Its description in RNAcentral is "partial 26S ribosomal RNA". It matches the Rfam family "Eukaryotic large subunit ribosomal RNA", at positions 62 to 261 of the family's 3401-position model. The record is from RNAcentral. Lineage: Eukaryota; Fungi; Ascomycota.